RNAcentral lists this ribosomal RNA (907 nucleotides) under uncultured bacterium. Its description in RNAcentral is "bacterial SSU rRNA". It matches the Rfam family "Bacterial small subunit ribosomal RNA", at positions 1 to 916 of the family's 1533-position model. The record is from RNAcentral.
GAAUUCGCCCUUAGAGUUUGAUCAUGGCUCAGGAUGAACGCUGGCGGCGUGCUUAACACAUGCAAGUCGAACGAUGAAGCCAGCUUGCUGGUGGAUUAGUGGCGAACGGGUGAGUAACACGUGAGUAACCUGCCCUUGACUCUGGGAUAAGCCUGGGAAACUGGGUCUAAUACCGGAUAUGACCUUCCAUCGCAUGGUGGUUGGUGGAAAGCUUUUGUGGUUUUGGAUGGACUCGCGGCCUAUCAGCUUGUUGGUGAGGUAAUGGCUUACCAAGGCGACGACGGGUAGCCGGCCUGAGAGGGUGACCGGCCACACUGGGACUGAGACACGGCCCAGACUCCUACGGGAGGCAGCAGUGGGGAAUAUUGCACAAUGGGCGCAAGCCUGAUGCAGCGACGCCGCGUGAGGGAUGACGGCCUUCGGGUUGUAAACCUCUUUCAGUAGGGAAGAAGCGUAAGUGACGGUACCUGCAGAAGAAGCGCCGGCUAACUACGUGCCAGCAGCCGCGGUAAUACGUAGGGCGCAAGCGUUAUCCGGAAUUAUUGGGCGUAAAGAGCUCGUAGGCGGUUUGUCGCGUCUGCCGUGAAAGUCCGGGGCUCAACUCCGGAUCUGCGGUGGGUACGGGCAGACUAGAGUGAUGUAGGGGAGACUGGAAUUCCUGGUGUAGCGGUGAAAUGCGCAGAUAUCAGGAGGAACACCGAUGGCGAAGGCAGGUCUCUGGGCAUUAACUGACGCUGAGGAGCGAAAGCAUGGGGAGCGAACAGGAUUAGAUACCCUGGUAGUCCAUGCCGUAAACGUUGGGCACUAGGUGUGGGGGACAUUCCACGUUUUCCGCGCCGUAGCUAACGCAUUAAGCGCCCCGCCUGGGGAGUACGGCCGCAAGGCUAAAACUCAAAGGAAUUGACGG